AAUAAGCGCAGUUGUGGGUUCCAGUGUCCAACUUUGACCAUCUGUCUUAUUUGAAAUAUUUGUAUGAUUAGUAUUUCUAUUGUUAUUACAUGAUAAAAUAUAAAUAAUACUUUAUGUGUGACUUAACUUUUAAUUUUUUUCAUAAAUUUUUCAAAUAAGACGGACGGUCAAACGUUGGGCACGGAAAUUAAUUUAUGGCUGUACUUAUA
Non-coding RNA from Oryza glumipatula, 209 nucleotides. NCBI's taxonomy places the organism in Eukaryota, Viridiplantae, Streptophyta, Magnoliopsida, Poales, Poaceae. The record is from Rfam.